This 1252-nucleotide small RNA is filed under the name Drosophila mojavensis. RNAcentral describes it as "GI26090". Lineage: Eukaryota; Metazoa; Arthropoda; Insecta; Diptera; Drosophilidae. The record is from RNAcentral.
AAAAUGCAUUUCGAUUUUCAAAUUCAAGCUCAGCUCUCGAUUCGCUCAAUGUAUUCCUGAGUAAAGAGGCCCCCGGUAGCCUCGGCGUCCCCCUUUGGAGCUGCAGCUGCUAACCCGCAGUUGUGUUUUGUUGUGUUGCCCAAAACUGUCAACAUUUGCAGCCGGUCAGGCUGGCAGGCCUGGCUGUCCAGUGCAAACGUUAUGAUAAUCACCGACAACGAUGCGGCGUCAGCAUCGGCCGAGGGACCAAUGGGAUAACGGCACAGCGAACUUCAUCUGGUGCGGGUUCAGAUACGCACACAUGAACGCACGAGCGCAAGGACGAGCGCUGGACGCAGGACAUCAGUCUGAUGCUGAUGACCACAGUGAAACCAUCCGGCCUGUCCACAAACUGUCCAAAUAUGUGUUGGUUUUGUUGCCGUUCGCACAGUGCCAAGUGAAUUGUCUGCAUCGAAACGAAACGAAACGGAGUGGAUUGGAAUGGAAUGGAAUCGGAACGGCAUCGCCAUCGCCGGGCGCAAUGAUGAGCGAAAAAUUGACAUGCAUGUAAUUAGUGACAUAAGGACAUCUGCAUCUGCAUCUGGAUCGCUAUAUGCCAACGACUGCUGUUUGCCUGAUGACCUCCACACACACACACACUCACACACACAUAGACUCACUAAAUGGGAUGAAAUGUACGAAUGCACGUAAUGCCAAGGCUUAUGGCCAAAGAGCUGCAACCGCACUGUGGCGUAGCGCAUAUCAAUAUUUAAGCGAAAAUGAUGACAGUUACAACAACAACAACAGCAGCAGCGGCAACAACAACAACAACAACAAAGGCGAGACAAAAACCAGCCGCCGCCAUGUCCAACUGUCCAAUGGACCACGAAACCAACAACUCAGCCCAGUUCGCCUGUCUCGUCAGCAUCCGCGCUCGACGUCGACGUCGACGUCUCCGUCUCCGUCUCCGUCGCCGUCACUUGUCACAUUCACGUUGACUCUUCUGACACGUCGACAAAUUGUCAACAAGGCUGCCGCAGCGUUUACCCCAUGAAAGAAAACCAAAGCAGAAAAAAGCAACAACAACGACAGCAACAAAAUGAAAAUGAAAGAAAACUCGUGGAAAAAAAAUAGUGGGAGAAAAUUCAGUUUCGGGCAAAGGUGCAGGGGGUAGAGUAGGGUAGCGAGCGGAGGGUGCUACGACCAAAAAUGGUCAUUCACCAGAGGUCGUCCUCUAUUAGCUGCAGCUCCAACCAGCAUUUGCACGCCGGAU